UUUGUGUACAGUGUGUAUGUUAUCGUGUGUAUGCAUGUGUGUCUUCAUAGUCCCUGCUGUUCCAUAAGGUGUAUUUUUAUCUGUUUUUUAAAUCUAAUUUUACUGCUUGCAUGAGUUACUUGAUGUGGAACAGAGUUCCAUUUGGUCAUGGCUCUAUGUACUACUAUGCGCCUCCCAUAGUUUGUUCUGUUUAGGUUAGUGUGUCGUCAAGGCUUUGUCAUUAAAAUUAUAUUGUGCCUAUUUUUCAGAUCUUCCAACCUGAUCGGUGGUUGACUGGUAACCGUCUUUCCACCAAGCUGUUCCAGGCUUGGAGUGGCACGCUGGAACUUCCAGAUGCUUGUAGACCUGAAGCAGUGUGAUGUAUUCCAGGUAUUUAUCAAACACACAAAUACACACUCAAUCACUCAAUCUGUUUUGUAUAAUUAUUUUAAUUUAAGAAAAUUGUUCUUUUAAAUCUGACAACCACAGUCUUCACAGCUGCAGUCGUUUGCCCCUGCAUCUGCUACACCGGCUACAUACGCACAUGCACACUCUCCCUUACUUGGGGCUCUAUUCAAUCAUGUCCGCUUUAGCCGACAUCCACAUAGAGGUCGUUUUGGCGUUGUCUGAGGUGGAACUGUGUUAGAGCUGUCAAAUUCACAAGCUGCUCCUGGCAUUAUACCUAACAGAGUCACAUUAACAGAAAUCUCAUGCAGCCCUGUUUACAAGUUAGAACACUGGAAUUUGAGAUGUAAUCUACACCUCGAUUAGGCCGAUUGAAAUCCUCAUUAUUUAGUUUAAUGAUUUUGAAUUUGAGCGUCAUUGUUUCUAUAUAACCUAUACUUCCUAGUUUUGAACUUAAUGCGAAUAGGACUGGUGUAGUUUUGUGACAAUGAUCAAGAACUACCGGUUUGACAGAUCCAACGCAGUUACACCUCAGACACCGCCAAAACAUCAGUUAUGCGGGUGUUGGUUAUCGCCGGUUAACGCUUGAUCUGAUUGAAUCUAGGCCUUCCACUCAUUCAGUCUAUUUAGUUGUAUGAUUAUUGUCAGUUAAGAAAAUUGUGCCUCUCUAUUUUAGAUCUGCCAUGCUCAGCAGUUCAGCUGCAGACACAGCAGUCCGCUGGUGUGGUAUUUAGUUUACCAGCUGCACCAGUUCCUACUACACUGGCCGUGAAGGGAGAAACUUUUAAAGAUUACCAGAUGGAUACAGAUCUGCCAUGCUCUCCACCACUGCCUGACAGCUUCACCCAGAAGUGCAUACACUGGGCCUAUCAAGACUGACAAAGCAGAGAUGGGUGGCUGACAAGGAAAAAUAAAAAAACAUGCACACAUUAUCCACAAUGUAAAUAAGUUGUAAUUACUUGUUUAUUUAAUAUUUGCUGCCUUUUAUUUUAGGAUUGGAGAUAUCUACUCCUAUAUAUCCAUUAUCAAUAUCUGCUCUAAAUGCCUAUCAAAUCAAUGUGUGAUUGAAAAUAUUCUAAAAGACUUGUGUGUACAGUUUUAGGAAAUUCUGUGUACUUUUUUUCUGAUUUGAAAAACAUGCUUCCCUCUCUCACACACACACACACUAGACCCAAUGUAAAUAAAUUGUAAUAACUUGUUUAUUUUAUGUAUGCUACAUUUUGUUUGAGGAAAAUAUCUUCAAUAAAGUACAUUUACAGUUAAAGCAA
Oncorhynchus tshawytscha (Chinook salmon) is the source of this 1652-nucleotide long non-coding RNA. Lineage: Eukaryota; Metazoa; Chordata; Actinopteri; Salmoniformes; Salmonidae. The record is from Ensembl.